GUCCACGCCGUAAACGAUGGACACUAGACGUCGGGGGAGCGACCCUCCCGGUGUCGUCGCUAACGCAGUAAGUGUCCCGCCUGGGGAGUACGGCCGCAAGGCUGAAACUCAAAGGAAUUGACGGGGCCCGCACAAGCGGUGGAGCAUGUGGUUUAAUUCGAAGCAACGCGAAGAACCUUACCUGGGCUUGACAUACUGGUGCAAGCCGGUGGAAACAUCGGCCCCUCUUCGGAGCGCCAGCACAGGUGCUGCAUGGCUGUCGU
Molecule: ribosomal RNA, 263 nt
Filed under: uncultured bacterium
Lineage: Bacteria
Description: partial 16S ribosomal RNA
Rfam family: Bacterial small subunit ribosomal RNA
Source: RNAcentral